RNAcentral lists this ribosomal RNA (869 nucleotides) under Coniella granati. Its description in RNAcentral is "LSU rRNA". It matches the Rfam family "Eukaryotic large subunit ribosomal RNA", at positions 36 to 934 of the family's 3401-position model. Lineage: Eukaryota; Fungi; Ascomycota; Sordariomycetes; Diaporthales; Schizoparmaceae. The record is from RNAcentral.
UAGCAUAUCAAUAAGCGGAGGAAAAGAAACCAACAGGGAUUGCCCUAGUAACGGCGAGUGAAGCGGCAACAGCUCAAAUUUGAAAUCUGGCUUCGGCCCGAGUUGUAAUUUGCAGAGGAUGUUUCUGGCGCGGUGCCUUCCGAGUUCCCUGGAACGGGACGCCACAGAGGGUGAGAGCCCCGUAUGGUUGGAUACUAAGCCUGUGUGAAACUCCUUCAACGAGUCGAGUAGUUUGGGAAUGCUGCUCAAAAUGGGAGGUAAAUCUCUUCUAAAGCUAAAUAUUGGCCAGAGACCGAUAGCGCACAAGUAGAGUGAUCGAAAGAUGAAAAGCACCUUGAAAAGGGGGUUAAACAGUACGUGAAAUUGUUGAAAGGGAAGCGCUCAUGACCAGACUUGUGCUGGGCAGCUCAUCCGGGGUUCUCCCCGGUGCACUCUGCCCAGUUCAGGCCAGCAUCGAUUUUUGCUGGGGGAUAAGAACGGUAGGAACGUGGCCCUCCUUCGGGUGGGUGUUAUAGCCUACCGUACGAUACCCUGGUGGAGAUCGAGGUUCGCGCAUCUGCAAGGAUGCUGGCGUAAUGGUCAUCAGCGACCCGUCUUGAAACACGGACCAAGGAGUCGUCCAUUAGAGCGAGCGUUUGGGUGUAAAACCCGCACGCGUAAUGAAAGUGAAAUUAGGUGAGAGCUUCGGCGCAUCAUCGACCGAUCCUGAUGUUCUCGGAUGGAUUUGAGUAAGAGUUUUAACGGACGGACCCGAAAGACAGUGAACUAUGCUUGUAUAGGGUGAAGCCAGAGGAAACUCUGGUGGAGGCUCGCAGCGGUUCUGACGUGCAAAUCGAUCGUCAAAUAUGAGCAUGGGGGCGAAAGACUAA